RNAcentral lists this ribosomal RNA (850 nucleotides) under Staphylococcus sp. M_Sw_oHS_05/11_6_3(2). RNAcentral's name for it is "bacterial SSU rRNA". It matches the Rfam family "Bacterial small subunit ribosomal RNA", at positions 34 to 865 of the family's 1533-position model. The record is from RNAcentral. Lineage: Bacteria; Bacillati; Bacillota; Bacilli; Caryophanales; Staphylococcaceae. RNAcentral also lists the same sequence under 1 other name.
CGCUGGCGGCGUGCCUAAUACAUGCAAGUCGAGCGAACAGACGAGGAGCUUGCUCCUCUGACGUUAGCGGCGGACGGGUGAGUAACACGUGGAUAACCUACCUAUAAGACUGGGAUAACUUCGGGAAACCGGAGCUAAUACCGGAUAACAUGUUGAACCGCAUGGUUCAACAGUGAAAGACGGUCUUGCUGUCACUUAUAGAUGGAUCCGCGCCGCAUUAGCUAGUUGGUAAGGUAACGGCUUACCAAGGCAACGAUGCGUAGCCGACCUGAGAGGGUGAUCGGCCACACUGGAACUGAGACACGGUCCAGACUCCUACGGGAGGCAGCAGUAGGGAAUCUUCCGCAAUGGGCGAAAGCCUGACGGAGCAACGCCGCGUGAGUGAAGAAGGUCUUCGGAUCGUAAAACUCUGUUAUUAGGGAAGAACAAAUGUGUAAGUAACUAUGCACGUCUUGACGGUACCUAAUCAGAAAGCCACGGCUAACUACGUGCCAGCAGCCGCGGUAAUACGUAGGUGGCAAGCGUUAUCCGGAAUUAUUGGGCGUAAAGCGCGCGUAGGCGGUUUUUUAAGUCUGAUGUGAAAGCCCACGGCUCAACCGUGGAGGGUCAUUGGAAACUGGAAAACUUGAGUGCAGAAGAGGAAAGUGGAAUUCCAUGUGUAGCGGUGAAAUGCGCAGAGAUAUGGAGGAACACCAGUGGCGAAGGCGACUUUCUGGUCUGUAACUGACGCUGAUGUGCGAAAGCGUGGGGAUCAAACAGGAUUAGAUACCCUGGUAGUCCACGCCGUAAACGAUGAGUGCUAAGUGUUAGGGGGUUUCCGCCCCUUAGUGCUGCAGCUAACGCAUUAAGC